UCAGGUCCCUGUUGAGGCGCCAGAUGUAGCAGAUGGCCCGUCGUCUCCACAAGGCUUGGUGACAGCUGCGAAGG
Molecule: microRNA precursor, 74 nt
Filed under: Notamacropus eugenii (tammar wallaby)
Lineage: Eukaryota; Metazoa; Chordata; Mammalia; Diprotodontia; Macropodidae
Description: miRNA (ENSMEUG00000017391.1)
Source: RNAcentral